This is a non-coding RNA of Rhopilema esculentum, 1065 nucleotides long. NCBI's taxonomy places the organism in Eukaryota, Metazoa, Cnidaria, Scyphozoa, Rhizostomeae, Rhizostomatidae. The record is from RefSeq and is a predicted model, not a curated record.
ACGUCCCCCUUAUCCCUUCGCGAUUGAUUGAUUGCAUUCGCGAUUUUGUUUUCGGGGUUAUUUUCAGGCCCUUUUGUUUAUCUACGUUUCAAGAUAAAGGUAUUUUAUUAUUUAUCAAUUUGUGCAACGAAUUCUCAGCGAAUUGUAACGACUAGAUUCAGGAAAUUCAAACUUUAUAGGACAGUUUUGCCUGACGAGUUGCGAACGACGAUCAAGCUACGCCCCCUUUGUGAUGUGACCCCAUUGUCUGCAAGGUCGUUAUUGGGGAAACUUUUUGUGAGUGCGGGUUCUUAACGAUCAUUAGUGACGCACCGAUUAGGAACCUUGAUCUUCGAUGUGGACAUUUGAUUUUGGUAAACUUGCUGCGUCACAGUUUUCAUUUCGGUUAUUCUUGGAUUUUUUGCAGGACAUUCCCGUGGCAGAUUGACCAAAGUAUUGUAAACAUAUUCUCACCCAGCUUCAUCACACGGGCAUUUGCGAGACGUUUUGACACCACGAUUUGAAUGAAAGACAUUUCUUCUUUGGCCUUUGUUUCGUUAUAAUUUGAUUGAUUUAGAGGAUCUUUGUAUGUUUAUUGUAAAGUUGAAGGAUAAUUCAAGAUUUUGCAUCCUGCUCUCAAAUAGUUUCAGCGAUUGAUAGGACCCCUAUUUCAUAGAUUUUCAUACCCUACUUCCAAUUGGAUUUUUACGAGGAUGUUUAUGAAACACACGGUUCCCUCAUUGUACUUUUACAGAGUUUGCCCCCUAUGCGUUAUAAACAUCUAUUAGAUUUUGCUUUAAAUGUGCUAUUUAACUUUGGAGGAUCCUCAACUCUAGCCAUUUAUUGUUACCAAUCUUGCAUUUGGUUUUUUACGAGGAUGUUGGUGAAAUACACGCCUCCCUCAUUGUGAUAUAUUUGAGGGUUUGCCUCAUAUAUUUUGAAAACAUCAGAUUUUAGAUUUUGCUUUAGUUAUGGAUUUUGUUUUGAGGAUUCUCAACUCUAGGGUUGGCUCACCAAUAGUAACUAUUAAUUGUUGUUGUUUUCAAAAUUAGCAAACAUUUUGAUAAUUAUUAUGAUGAUGAAGUA